Molecule: long non-coding RNA, 329 nt
Filed under: Cricetulus griseus (Chinese hamster)
Lineage: Eukaryota; Metazoa; Chordata; Mammalia; Rodentia; Cricetidae
Description: lncRNA (ENSCGRG00000025420.1)
Source: RNAcentral
GGAUGCACAGAGAAACCCUGUCUUGAAAAAAAAUUAGAAAGAAAAAAGAAAGGAAAAGGGAAACUGAAGCCCCAGCACUUUGUUUUUGGAGUGCGCAGUGGAAUUCAUCCUAGCUAGGACUCAAGUUGCCAAGGACCAGAGUUCAGUUCCCAGCACCCAUGCUAGGUGGCUCACAAGCAUCUGUAACUCCAGUUCCAGGGGUUCUGAUACCAGCUUCUGGUCUCUGCUGACACCAGCAUAACACAACACCUACGAAUAUAUUGACCUUGAAAGUGCUGGGGAGUCCUGAUCUGAUGCUUCAUAGAAGAUGUUUUCAUGGGCAGUGUCUG